ACUGGCGGGCGCACAGCUCGUUGCAGCUCUCAGCGAUGGGCUGGGGCACAGCCACGCUGGUUUUGGGUGGGCACAGGUCGUAGCAGGACAUCUUGGCGUGGGAUGCGAG
Corvus hawaiiensis (hawaiian crow) is the source of this 109-nucleotide long non-coding RNA. RefSeq lists it as uncharacterized. The transcript has 2 exons. The record is from RefSeq and is a predicted model, not a curated record. NCBI's taxonomy places the organism in Eukaryota, Metazoa, Chordata, Aves, Passeriformes, Corvidae.